GUCUUAGUCCUCUGAUUCUCACUGAAGCUAUCAUUCAAAUGUUAUAUUUAGCUCAGAAUCUGGUACCAGUUGUCUUAGGAUCUGCAAACUAUACUGAUUUGGCACCACCACAUUCCUUCAUAAAUGUUCAGGAUUUUAAAUCCCCUGAACAUCUGUCCAAGUACCUUCUCAAACUUGAUAAAAACCAAAAGGUAAUGC
Long non-coding RNA from Eurytemora carolleeae, 198 nucleotides. RefSeq lists it as uncharacterized. The record is from RefSeq and is a predicted model, not a curated record. NCBI's taxonomy places the organism in Eukaryota, Metazoa, Arthropoda, Copepoda, Calanoida, Temoridae. The transcript is spliced from 3 exons.